This 247-nucleotide ribosomal RNA is filed under the name uncultured Actinomycetales bacterium. Its description in RNAcentral is "partial 16S ribosomal RNA". It matches the Rfam family "Bacterial small subunit ribosomal RNA", at positions 83 to 334 of the family's 1533-position model. The record is from RNAcentral. Lineage: Bacteria; Bacillati; Actinomycetota; Actinomycetes; Actinomycetales.
CGGGGUACUCGAGUGGCGAACGGGUGAGUAACACGUGGGUGAUCUGCCCUGCACUUCGGGAUAAGCUUGGGAAACUGGGUCUAAUACCGGAUAGGAGCCAUCUUUAGUGUGGUGGUUGGAAAGUUUUUCGGUGUAGGAUGAGCUCGCGGCCUAUCAGCUUGUUGGUGGGGUAAUGGCCUACCAAGGCGGCGACGGGUAGCCGGCCUGAGAGGGUGUACGGCCACAUUGGGACUGAGAUACGGCCCAG